GCCUGGCUGGCUCGGUCAGUAGAGCAUGCGACUCUUGAUCUCAGGGUUGUGAAUUCAAACCCCAUGUUGGGCG
This 73-nucleotide transfer RNA is filed under the name Felis catus (domestic cat). It matches the Rfam family "tRNA". From Rfam's summary of the family: Transfer RNA (tRNA) molecules are approximately 80 nucleotides in length. Their secondary structure includes four short double-helical elements and three loops (D, anti-codon, and T loops). RNAcentral also lists the same sequence under 2 other names. The record is from Rfam by way of RNAcentral. Lineage: Eukaryota; Metazoa; Chordata; Mammalia; Carnivora; Felidae.